This 470-nucleotide ribosomal RNA is filed under the name uncultured bacterium. Its description in RNAcentral is "partial 16S ribosomal RNA". It matches the Rfam family "Bacterial small subunit ribosomal RNA", at positions 28 to 507 of the family's 1533-position model. The record is from RNAcentral.
GACGAACGCUGGCGGCGUGCUUAACACAUGCAAGUCGAACGGUGAACGAGGGAGCUUGCUCCCUCCGGAUCAGUGGCGAACGGGUGAGUAACACGUGAGCAAUCUGCCCCGAACUCUGGGAUAAGCGUUGGAAACGACGUCUAAUACCGGAUACGACGCGGGAGGGCAUCCUCUCCGCGUGGAAAGAACUUCGGUUCGGGAUGAGCUCGCGGCCUAUCAGUUUGUUGGUGAGGUAACGGCUCACCAAGGCGACGACGGGUAGCCGGCCUGAGAGGGUGACCGGCCACACUGGGACUGAGACACGGCCCAGACUCCUACGGGAGGCAGCAGUGGGGAAUAUUGCAUAAUGGGCGCAAGCCUGAUGCAGCAACGCCGCGUGAGGGACGACGGCCUUCGGGUUGUAAACCUCUUUUAGCAGGGAAGAAGCGAAAGUGACGGUACCUGCAGAAAAAGCACCGGCUAACUACGUG